CGAUGAUCUCCAGCUUGCUGGGGUGAUUAGUGGCGAACGGGUGAGUAACACGUGAGUAACCUGCCCUUGACUCUGGGAUAAGCCUGGGAAACUGGGUCUAAUACCGGAUAUGACCUUCCAUCGCAUGGUGGUUGGUGGAAAGCUUUUGUGGUUUUGGAUGGACUCGCGGCCUAUCAGCUUGUUGGUGGGGUAAUGGCCUACCAAGGCGACGACGGGUAGCCGGCCUGAGAGGGUGACCGGCCACACUGGGACUGAGACACGGCCCAGACUCCUACGGGAGGCAGCAGUGGGGAAUAUUGCACAAUGGGCGCAAGCCUGAUGCAGCGACGCCGCGUGAGGGAUGACGGCCUUCGGGUUGUAAACCUCUUUCAGUAGGGAAGAAGCGUAAGUGACGGUACCUGCAGAAGAAGCGCCGGCUAACUACGUGCCAGCAGCCGCGGUAAUACGUAGGGCGCAAGCGUUAUCCGGAAUUAUUGGGCGUAAAGAGCUCGUAGGCGGUUUGUCGCGUCUGCCGUGAAAGUCCGGGGCUCAACUCCGGAUCUGCGGUGGGUACGGGCAGACUAGAGUGAUGUAGGGGAGACUGGAAUUCCUGGUGUAGCGGUGAAAUGCGCAGAUAUCAGGAGGAACACCGAUGGCGAAGGCAGGUCUCUGGGCAUUAACUGACGCUGAGGAGCGAAAGCAUGGGGAGCGAACAGGAUUAGAUACCCUGGUAGUCCAUGCCGUAAACGUUGGGCACUAGGUGUGGGGGACAUUCCACGUUUUCCGCGCCGUAGCUAACGCAUUAAGUGCCCCGCCUGGGGAGUACGGCCGCAAGGCU
RNAcentral lists this ribosomal RNA (817 nucleotides) under Arthrobacter sp. RNAcentral describes it as "bacterial SSU rRNA". It matches the Rfam family "Bacterial small subunit ribosomal RNA", at positions 67 to 895 of the family's 1533-position model. The record is from RNAcentral. Lineage: Bacteria; Bacillati; Actinomycetota; Actinomycetes; Micrococcales; Micrococcaceae.